Long non-coding RNA from Cyprinodon variegatus (sheepshead minnow), 297 nucleotides. RefSeq lists it as uncharacterized. The transcript has 2 exons. NCBI's taxonomy places the organism in Eukaryota, Metazoa, Chordata, Actinopteri, Cyprinodontiformes, Cyprinodontidae. The record is from RefSeq and is a predicted model, not a curated record.
CUGGGCCUACCAAGAACCUUAGUGGUUCUGAUCGAGAGACGGUUCAUCUCUCAGAACCAGUGGACUAAUCCAACAACACCGGCUGAUGGAGGACGCACGGCACCAGAGGCUAACGGGUCAGACUGACGUCUCAAAGGAGAACAGCGCUUAGUUUACCCUGGUAGGUGGUUCUAUUGGAUCAGAGGUUCUAUUGGAUCAGAGGUUCUAUUGGAUCAGAGGUUCUAUUGGAUCAGAGGGAACGUUCAGGUCUCCAACUCCCCGUCUCCCAUCUAUGCUGCUUCUCCUACAAACGGGUCA